Molecule: ribosomal RNA, 402 nt
Filed under: uncultured bacterium
Lineage: Bacteria
Description: bacterial SSU rRNA
Rfam family: Bacterial small subunit ribosomal RNA
Source: RNAcentral
UCGGGAAUUUUGGGCAAUGGGCGAAAGCCUGACCCAGCAACGCCGCGUGAGGGAUGAAGUAUUUCGGUAUGUAAACCUCGAAAGAAUGGGAAGAAUAAAUGACGGUACCAUUUAUAAGCUCCGGCUAACUACGUGCCAGCAGCCGCGGUAAUACGUAGGGAGCAAGCGUUGUCCGGAUUUACUGGGUGUAAAGGGUGCGCAGGCGGAUGGGUAAGUCAGGGGUGAAAGUCUGCAGCUUAACUGUAGAAUUGCCUUUGAUACUGCUCAUCUUGAGUGUGGGAGAGGUUGAUGGAAUUCCAGGUGUAGCAGUGAAAUGCGUAGAUAUCUGGAAGAACACCAGUGGCGAAGGCGGUCAACUGGCCCAUAACUGACGCUCAUGCACGAAAGCGUGGGGAGCAAACA